UUGCUCUUCAACGAGGAAUGCCUAGUAAGCGCGUGUCAUCAGCACGCGUUGAUUACGUCCCUGCCCUUUGUACACACCGCCCGUCGCUACUACCGAUUGAAUGGCUCAGUGAGGCCUUCGGACUGGCUCAGGGAGGUCGGCAACGACCACCCAGAGCCGGAAAGUUCGUCAAACUUGGUCAUUUAGAGGAAGUAAAAGUCGUAACAAGGUUUCCGUAGGUGAACCUGCGGAAGGAUCAUUACCGAGUUCGUGGGCGUUCUAACCGGACCCCAAACUCCCACCCCAUGUGUACCUGAACCUCGUUGCUUUGGCGGGCCUGCGCGCCCUGAAAAAGCGCGCUGCCGGCCCUGCUGGCCCGUGCCCGCCAGAGGACCUUCAAACUCCUGUUGUCAUCAGUGCCGUCUGAGUGUAAAACUUAAUACGUUUAAAACUUUCAACAACGGAUCUCUUGGUUCUGGCAUCGAUGAAGAACGCAGCGAAAUGCGAUAAGUAAUGUGAAUUGCAGAAUUCAGUGAAUCAUCGAAUCUUUGAACGCACAUUGCGCCCUUUGGUAUUCCGAAGGGCAUGCCUGUUCGAGCGUCAUUACACACCUCAAGCUCUGCUUGGUAUUGGGCCCUCGUCCGUCAGGGACGGGCCUCAAAACCCUCGGCGGCGGUGCCCGGCUUUGAGCGUAGUAGAACUUCCUUUCUCGCUCUGAAAGCCCGUGGCGCCCGCUUGCCGGACGACCCCCCAAUCUUUCUUCGAAGGUUGACCUCGGAUCAGGUAGGGAUACCCGCUGAACUUAAGCAUAUCAAUAAGCGGAGGA
RNAcentral lists this ribosomal RNA (805 nucleotides) under uncultured fungus. RNAcentral's name for it is "eukaryotic LSU rRNA". The stretch from base 1 to 241 matches the Rfam family "Eukaryotic small subunit ribosomal RNA", at positions 1593 to 1831 of the family's 1831-position model. Lineage: Eukaryota; Fungi. The record is from RNAcentral.